GACGAACGCUGGCGGCGUGCCUAAUACAUGCAAGUCGAACGCUGAAGGAGGAGCUUGCUCUUCUGGAUGAGUUGCGAACGGGUGAGUAACGCGUAGGUAACCUGCCUGGUAGCGGGGGAUAACUAUUGGAAACGAUAGCUAAUACCGCAUAAUAGUAGAUGUUGCAUGAUAUUUACUUAAAAGGUGCAAUUGCACCACUACCAGAUGGACCUGCGUUGUAUUAGCUAGUUGGUGGGGUAACGGCUCACCAAGGCGACGAUACAUAGCCGACCUGAGAGGGUGAUCGGCCACACUGGGACUGGGACACGGCCAAGACUCCUACGGAGGCAGCAGUAGGGAAUCUUCGGCAAUGGACGAAAGUCUGACCGAGCAACGCCGCGGGAGUGAAGAAGGUUUUCGGAUCGUAAAGCUCUGUUGUAAGAGAAGAACGAGUGUGAGAGUGGAAAGUUCACACUGUGACGGUAUCUUACCAGAAAGGGACGGCUAACUACGUG
This 494-nucleotide ribosomal RNA is filed under the name uncultured bacterium. RNAcentral's name for it is "partial 16S ribosomal RNA". It matches the Rfam family "Bacterial small subunit ribosomal RNA", at positions 28 to 507 of the family's 1533-position model. The record is from RNAcentral.